GAACACGCCCGAUCUCGUCUGAUCUCGGAAAGUUGAGC
Ribosomal RNA from Ochotona princeps (American pika), 38 nucleotides. The record is from Ensembl. Lineage: Eukaryota; Metazoa; Chordata; Mammalia; Lagomorpha; Ochotonidae.